AGCAGGAGGGAGGCAAAAACCCUAGGACUCCCUUUCCUCAUUGAUUUUAACUGCCAAAUCGUAGGAAUCGGGGAAAAAAAGAUUUUUUAAAAUUAAAAAAAAAUUAGUUCUCCAGUUCGUGAAAUCUUUCGCUCGACUUUGUUAACUUCUAGGGUAUUUUGUGCGUGGAGGUGACUUUGUUGCGAUCAAAGACAACUCGAUAGUUAACGAGG
Asparagus officinalis (garden asparagus) is the source of this 212-nucleotide long non-coding RNA. RefSeq lists it as uncharacterized. The transcript has 2 exons. The record is from RefSeq and is a predicted model, not a curated record. NCBI's taxonomy places the organism in Eukaryota, Viridiplantae, Streptophyta, Magnoliopsida, Asparagales, Asparagaceae.